Molecule: unclassified non-coding RNA, 328 nt
Filed under: soil metagenome
Description: partial contains 5.8S ribosomal RNA, internal transcribed spacer 2, and large subunit ribosomal RNA
Rfam family: 5.8S ribosomal RNA (bases 1-120)
Source: RNAcentral
GAUGAAGAACGUAGCGAAAUGCGAAAAGUAGUGUGAAUUGCAGAAUUCAGUGAAUCAUCGAAUCUUUGAACGCACAUUGCACCCCUUGGUAUUCCAUGGGGCAUGCCUGUUCGAGCGUCAUUUGUACCCUCAAGCUCUGCUUGGUGUUGGGCGACGUCCCCUUUGGGGACGCGCCUCGAAACGCUCGGCGGCGUGGCACCGGCUUUAAGCGUAGCAGAAUCUUUCGCUUUGGAAGUCGGGGCCCCGUCUGCCGGAAGACCUACUCGCAAGGUUGACCUCGGAUCAGGCAGGGAUACCCGCUGAACUUAAGCAUAUCAAUAAGCGGAGA